Molecule: ribosomal RNA, 245 nt
Filed under: uncultured bacterium
Lineage: Bacteria
Description: partial 16S ribosomal RNA
Rfam family: Bacterial small subunit ribosomal RNA
Source: RNAcentral
UAGUGGCGAACGGGUGAGGAACACGUGAGGAACCUGCCCCGAACUUUGGGAUAACAGUUGGAAACGACUGCUAAUACCGAAUGCCGUUACGAAGUGGCAUCACUUUGUAACGAAAGAAUUUCGGUUCGGGAGGGCCUCGCGGCCUAUCAGCUAGUUGGUGGGGUAAUGGCCUACCAAGGCAUCGACGGGUAGCUGGUCUGAGAGGAUGGUCAGCCACACUGGGACUGAGACACGGCCCAGACUCC